UACGUAGGGUGCAAGCGUUAAUCGGAAUUACUGGGCGUAAAGCGUGCGCAGGCGGUUUUGUAAGUCUGUCGUGAAAUCCCCGGGCUUAACCUGGGAACUGCAUUUGUGACUGCAUCGCUGGAGUGCGGCAGAGGGGGAUGGAAUUCCGCGUGUAGCAGUGAAAUGCGUAGAUAUGCGGAGGGACACCGAUGGCGAAGGCAAUCCCCUGGGCCUGCACUGACGCUCAUGCACGAAAGCGUGGGGAGCAAACAGG
This 253-nucleotide ribosomal RNA is filed under the name uncultured bacterium. Its description in RNAcentral is "partial 16S ribosomal RNA". It matches the Rfam family "Bacterial small subunit ribosomal RNA", at positions 524 to 776 of the family's 1533-position model. The record is from RNAcentral.